RNAcentral lists this ribosomal RNA (401 nucleotides) under uncultured fungus. Its description in RNAcentral is "SSU rRNA". It matches the Rfam family "Eukaryotic small subunit ribosomal RNA", at positions 30 to 433 of the family's 1831-position model. The record is from RNAcentral. Lineage: Eukaryota; Fungi.
GCUUGUCUCAAAGAUUUAAGCCCAUGGCAUGUCUAAGUAUAAGCAAUUAUACGGGGAAACUGCGAAUGGCUCAUUAUAUAAGUUAUCGUUUAUUUGAUAGUACUUUACUACUUGGAUAACCGUGGUAAUUCUAGAGCUAAUACAUGCUAAAAAUCCCGACUUCGGAAGGGAUGUAUUUAUUAGAUUAAAAACCAAUGCCCUUUGGGCUCCUUGGUGAAUCAUGAUAACUUCUCGAAUCGCAUGGCCUUGCGCCGGCGAUGGUUCAUUCAAAUUUCUUCCCUAUCAACUUUCGAUGUUUGGGUAUUGGCCAAACAUGGUCGCAACGGGUAACGGAGGGUUAGGGCUCGACCCCGGAGAAGGAGCCUGAGAAACGGCUACUACAUCCAAGGAAGGCAGCAGGC